UCCGAGUUGUCCCCGGCAGUCCCCUUAGAGUCCCCGGCAUUACCCGCUGGCAACUAAGGGCAGGGGUUGCGCUCGUUGCGGCACUUAAGCCAACACCUCACGGCACGAGCUGACGACAGCCAUGCAGCACCUGUGCUAGCCCCCGAAGGACACGGGCUUUCACCCGCUUUAACUAGCAUGUCAAGCCUAGGUAAGGUGGGGAUGACGUUAGGAUAG
This 216-nucleotide unclassified non-coding RNA is filed under the name uncultured Actinomycetes bacterium. Its description in RNAcentral is "uncultured actinobacterium contains 16S-23S intergenic spacer region". Lineage: Bacteria; Bacillati; Actinomycetota; Actinomycetes. The record is from RNAcentral.